AUGAAUGCCCCUCCCGCUUUCGAGUUGUUCCUGCUCUUCGAAGGCGAGAAGGUCACCAUCAACAAGGACACCAAGGUGCCCAAUGCCUGCUUGUUCACCAUCAACAAAGAAGACCACACCCUCGGAAACAUCAUCAAAUCUCAGCUGUUGAAAGACCCACAGGUGCUAUUCGCCGGCUACAAAGUCCCCCACCCCUGGAGCAUAAGAUCAUCAUCCGAGUGCAGACCGCCCCCGACUAUAGCCCGCAGGAGGCCUUCACCAACGCCAUCACGGACCUCAUCAGCGAGCUCUCCCUGUUGGAGGAGCGCUUCCGGGUGGCCAUCAAAGACAAGCAAGAAGGAAUUGAAUAGUGAACUGGAAGGAGCCUUGCCCAGCCAGAAA
Chrysochloris asiatica (Cape golden mole) is the source of this 381-nucleotide RNA transcript. It is a transcript of the gene named DNA-directed RNA polymerase II subunit RPB11-like, with no coding region annotated. The transcript has a single exon. Lineage: Eukaryota; Metazoa; Chordata; Mammalia; Afrosoricida; Chrysochloridae. The record is from RefSeq and is a predicted model, not a curated record.